Molecule: transfer RNA, 72 nt
Filed under: Camelus bactrianus (Bactrian camel)
Lineage: Eukaryota; Metazoa; Chordata; Mammalia; Artiodactyla; Camelidae
Also listed under: 3 other names
Rfam family: tRNA
About the family: Transfer RNA (tRNA) molecules are approximately 80 nucleotides in length. Their secondary structure includes four short double-helical elements and three loops (D, anti-codon, and T loops). Further hydrogen bonds mediate the characteristic L-shaped molecular structure. tRNAs have two regions of fundamental functional importance: the anti-codon, which is responsible for specific mRNA codon recognition, and the 3' end, to which the tRNAs corresponding amino acid is attached (by aminoacyl-tRNA synthetases). tRNAs cope with the degeneracy of the genetic code in two manners: having more than one tRNA (with a specific anti-codon) for a particular amino acid; and 'wobble' base-pairing, i.e. permitting non-standard base-pairing at the 3rd anti-codon position.
Source: Rfam by way of RNAcentral
GAGGGUGUAGCUCAGUGGUAGAGUGUGUGCUUAGGAUGCCUGAGGUCCUGGGUUCAAUCCCAGGUACCAUUA